UUUAAUUGGAGAGUUUGAUUCUGGCUCAGAACGAACGCUGGCGGCGGGUUUCAGACAUGCAAGUCGGACGAGAAAGUUCCUUCGGGAACGAGUAAAGUGGCGAACGGGUGAGUAACACGUGGGUAACCUACCCUCGAGUGGGGGAUAACUUUCCGAAAGGAAGGCUAAUACCGCAUGCGUCGGCUGGGGCUGCGGCUCCGGUCGGGAAAGCGGCCCUCUGCCUGCACGGUCGCGCUCGAGGAUGAGCCCGCGUCCCAUUAGCUUGUUGGUGGGGUAACGGCCUACCAAGGCUGAGAUGGGUAGCUGGUCUGAGAGGACGGCCAGCCACACUGGGACUGAGACACGGCCCAGACUCCUACGGGAGGCAGCAGUCCGGAAUCUUGCGCAAUGGGGGCAACCCUGACGCAGCCACGCCGUGUGAGGGAUGAAGGCCUUCGGGUCGUAAACCUCUGUCAGGAGGGAAGAGAUGGCGGCCGGCUAAUAUCCGGUUGCCUCGACGGUACCUCCAGAGGAAGCAUCGGCUAACUACGUGCCAGCAGCCGCGGUAAGACGUAGGAUGCAAGCGUUGUUCGGAAUUAUUGGGCGUAAAGGGCGUGUAGGCGGUCCGUUAAGUUCCGUGUGAAAUCCCUCGGCUCAACCGGGGAACGUCGCGGAAAACUGGCGGACUUGAGUCCGGGAGAGGAAGGUGGAAUUCCCAGUGGAGCGGUGAAAUGCGUAGAGAUUGGGAGGAACACCGGUGGCGAAGGCGGCCUUCUGGACCGAGACUGACGCUGAAACGCGAAAGUGUGGGGAGCAAACAGGAUUAGAUACCCUGGUAGUCCACACUGUAAACGGUGGGUGCUAGGUGUCGGGGGUAUUGACCCCUCCGGUGCCGCAGCUAACGCAUUAAGCACCCCGCCUGGGAAGUACGAUCGCAAGAUUAAAACUCAAAGAAAUUGACGGGGGCCCGCACAAGCGGUGGAGUAUGUGGUUCAAUUCGAUGCAACGCGAAGAACCUUACCUGGGCUUGACAUCCCGCGAAUCUUGGGGAAACCCGGGAGUGCCUUUCGGGGAGCGCGGAGACAGGUGCUGCAUGGCUGUCGUCAGCUCGUGUCGUGAGAUGUUGGGUUAAGUCCCGCAACGAGCGCAACCCUUGCCUCUAGUUACCAGCGGGAAAGCCGGGGACUCUAGAGGGACUGCCGGUGUGAAACCGGAGGAAGGUGAGGAUGACGUCAAGUCCUCAUGGCCUUUAUGCCCAGGGCUACACACGUACUACAAUGGCCGGCACAGCGGGUCGCAACCGCGCGAGCGGGAGCUAAUCCUAAAAACCGGUCUCAGUUCAGAUUGGAGUCUGCAACUCGACUCCAUGAAGUUGGAAUCGCUAGUAAUCGCGGAUC
This 1376-nucleotide ribosomal RNA is filed under the name Deltaproteobacteria bacterium RBG_13_61_14. RNAcentral describes it as "bacterial SSU rRNA". It matches the Rfam family "Bacterial small subunit ribosomal RNA", at positions 1 to 1350 of the family's 1533-position model. The record is from RNAcentral. Lineage: Bacteria; Deltaproteobacteria.